Triticum aestivum (bread wheat) is the source of this 4984-nucleotide long non-coding RNA. RefSeq lists it as uncharacterized. The transcript is spliced from 4 exons. The record is from RefSeq and is a predicted model, not a curated record. NCBI's taxonomy places the organism in Eukaryota, Viridiplantae, Streptophyta, Magnoliopsida, Poales, Poaceae.
UGCUAAAAUUUGGAACUUGAAUUCGGGCUGGUUCCACGAUAACAAACCUAACCAACUGAGUUUGCAGGUCAUGUAAAAAAAAAAACUGAGUUUGCAGGUAGUCGGUAUCCGAAACUCGCGUUCCUCCCGAACCACAUGAAAGAAACUGACCUCACUGCUCGUUGCCGCGGUGCCGCCGCGUUCACCGCACGCACUCAUUCGGCCGUCCCGCUCGCGCACCGACACCGGGUUCCCUUGGGAACGGCGGCGACGAGGAGGUCCGGCCCUUGGCGCGACCGGCGGCCCUCCCCCACCCCCCACGCGACGGCAUCGUACGGGGAUGACUGGCAACAGGCUAAUGUCUUCUUCAGGGCAUUGGUAAUUUUUGAAUCCUUCAGGAAGUUAGACAAUUCCUUCGAAAUACAGGCUGGAAAACCUGAGCUCUGCCAAUGCAAUUUUAAUAUUCAGUUGUGCUUCUGCACUGCUGCACAUAAGCAUAUGACGCUCCUUUUCUUCUCUGUUGGGUUGAUGUGGACUGGGAAUCCAUGCAGGUUUGGAAUGUUCUGGGAGUUUUGUUCUGGUCAAUCUAAUCAAAAUAUUGCUUUCUGGGUGGAUGCUCCAAUAUAUCCAGAUUGUUGGGUCUUUGUUUGCUUCCUGGUGGAGUACCAACAUCAGUUAAUUUCCGAAUCCGACACUAAAAUUUGGGGAAUCAGUUACUCAUCCAUCAUUGGUUUGUUUCCUGCAUGAUACGAUUCCUUCUACUUGCAAUAGACGUGUUACUGAACUUCAUCCCAUAUAUUUUGUUUUCACUCAAAUUUACAAAUGGAGUGCUCCACUCAGUUUACUGUCGGCUCCGCUCUGCUGAUAGGAACAAGCUUACCUUCACUGGAGGUACUGCAUAUAUUUGACCCGAAACAUGAGUCAAAUAUAUGCAGUACCUCCAGCGAAGACUCAUGCAAACCCACUAGGGCAGAAGUCUAUUAGAAGUCUAUGAGUGGUUGAUGACCUUUAAAGUUUGAACAGAAUGAUGCUCCAAACAAGGCCAAAUCCCAAGUAUCUUAGUACCUGCAACAAGAAAGGCCAUGAAAUGGAAUCAAAGGCCUUUGAGAUAUCCAACUUGAGGAGAACUCUCUGCUCUUUUUGCCAAUGGAGCAAUUUGGCUAUUUGUUGGACACCAAAUUUUUCAUGAAUGCACAUUCCUUUGACAUAAGCACUUUGAUUGGGAGACACCAAAUCCUUGAGCUUCCUAGCCAGCCUAUUGGCUAGCAUUUUGGUGAUAAGCUUGGAAAAGCUAUGGACUAGGCUUAUAGGGUGAAAGUCUUUGAUUUCCAUCGCAUCUGGAGAUUUUGGUAGCAGGGUGAUAUAGGCUGAAUCCAGAAGGAAUAAUCUGCUCACAUCUCCCUGCAGAACUCGCCAUUGAUGGAUUUUUCAUGAUUUGGUUGCAAUACCUUUUGGACUUGGUAUGUUCUCCAUCACCAUUACAUCACCUCAUUAUCCUCUGUUGUGAUUAGACCCGUCCGGAAAUUAAUUUUGGAACUUAGCUUGCUCAUGAGGGAUGAUAUGUGCUCUGUCUUCUCCUAAGUGGUUCGAUUUCUUGCAUUUCUAUUCUUUUAAUGUUUAACUAUAGCCCCACUUUGGGACCUUGCAUGUUUGAUUAUGAUUGUUCUUUUCUUGCAAAUACUAGAAUACAUAUAUAUUAAACAAGUCCAAGCUUUACAAGAACACCCUUGACAAAGAAAUUUAUAAACAUGCCCAAGGGGAGUUCAUCACCAUCUUUGACCUGCACAAUCCAACAGCGUGUCGUGGGCGUAGCUUGAUCCGCGCAUGCCCUCUGUCGCCGAAACCAGAGAGUCGUUGUAACUUUCCCUAGGAAAUCAUCAUAUAUUGCCAGGAGAUGCCAAUGGUGACGUUCCAAAGCACGGAUCGUCAUCCUAGAGAAGAAGGCGGAGACAUGAUGAGAGAACCAACCCCACAUCACGCUGGAAGUGUCAUCUAAAGAUCUUAUUGACAUGACCAUUGGCGUCACAGCGAGCCGAGGCGGAAGCAUCGAGGUUGAUGACUCCUCCCUCCCCCUCCACCCCAUUAUCUGCUGGAAUUGAUUUGGGAAACCAAUCCUCACGUGCCCCGAGGUGGCACCAAAGCCAGCAAUGGACUUGUUCCAUUGCGCUGUCGCCUCCACUGUUUUGAUGGACGACAUAAGGACACCAAACCUAAUAACCUAAACCAAGGCUUCCCAUGAGGGCGCAAUCCAUGGUCUUUCGUGACUCUCGGUGCCGAAAUUGGCCGCCAGAGGUGAGGGAGACCGAUGGAAUCAGACAGCGAGGAUGAGUGGUGACUAGGGAUACAUUAGACGGAUCAGAUGUCAGAGUAAGAAGACGCCAUUGCUGCCUCGACAAGGAAAAGUCUUAAAGAGUCACGCUCACAUGGCAAUUAGAAAAAAAUGGAAGUGUUUCUAUUUCUGAAACUGGAAUAUUUCUUCGGUUCGGCACUCAGUUUAAGGCUGCAAUAAACAAACCCAAAUGGUAAGUGUCACACGUGUGGCACGAAGUAACACCGCCCUGACGUUUUUACAACUAAUAUUGCCAUCAGAAAAAAACGAGACCCUCAAAAAACCGAAACUUGCCAGCCAAACAGAAAGUUGCCAUGCUUCACAACUAAAGUUGCCAUCCCUGGGUAACUAAAGUUGCCAUCAAAAAAUGUCAGGGUGGAAUUGCUUCCUGCCACAUGUGUGGCACUUAUAUUUAGACUCUUGGUCUGUUUCUUGUUAAUUCCAUGGAAAGAGCAGCAUUGCAGUGAUACAAAUUAAUGCCUCACAUCAUUACAGAUAAUUUAUAAAAGACAUUCCAUUUGAUAGUCUAAAUCAUACAUUAAAAUUGGUUCGACCAAACAUAACACAACCUUGUUUCCGAUCCCAAAAGACAACCACCGAGUAAAAGUUAAAUGUGAUGUAAAACUGAACUCCAUGACUGCAGUACAGGCAGAUGCCAUGCCAUCUGCUAAUCGAAAUCAUACAUAGAAACUGGUUCUGCCUAACAUAUAGGAUAACCUUAUUUAUGAUCCCAAAAGAUAACAGAUGAAACUAAACUCCUUCUGACUAGCACAAUUUCACACACAGAAUGUGCAAGAAUCAGCAGGUAGAGGAGCAUCUCUCUGGAAGUUAGGGGCUAACGACCUAACUACAGCUCUCUACCCAAGAUAUUAACAUCGUUGAUUAAUAAAUCCUGCAGUCAGAAAAUAAGUUUAGUUAGAUGCAACCUUAUCUAACUCCGUACUGCUAGUACAUUAUAUAUGUGCAAAGCCUGAAAAACUUAGAGACAAGAUAGUAAAUGCCAAAACGAAAGCAGGCUCGGUAAAAAAUGGGCAGGCAUCAUGCAGCAAAAGAAUGAAAAGGCUUCUUACUUCAUUAAACAUGUUCAUGGUAGAAAUGUCAUCCCUCGAAAAACCAUCAUUAACAGCUUCCCAGAAAUCAUCACUGUCGAUAUUCAGUUGACCAUCAUCAGCUUCCUGAUUAGCUGUGCCUUGUGAUUGCGCAGAGAGGAUGCCACCUGCACCACCAUCAUUCAACAUCUGAGUUGACGUGACAGAAAUACCCAUCUGAGGGUCAGGCAUUGCAGCACCGAUGCUUGAAGCACUACCAAGUGCGAAGUUACCAUUCAGCAUCUCCACUGAGCUUGUGUUGUUGUUGAUUGCGAAGUUACCAUUCGACAUCUCCAUCGAGCUUGUGUUGUUGUUGAUUGCAAAGUUACCAUUCGACAUCUCCACCGAGCUCAUGAUGUUGUUGAUUGCGAAGUUACCAUUCGGCAUCUCCCCCGAGCUCAUGUUGUUGUUGAUUAAGAAGUUACCAUUCGGCAUCUUCACCGAGCUCAUGUUGAUUGCCAAAUGACCGUUCAGCAUCUCCACCGAGCUUAUGUUGUUGUUGAUUGAUAAAUCCUGCAGUCAGAAAACAAGUUUAGUUAGAUGCAACCUUAUCUAACUCCGUACUGCUAGUACAUUUGCAUAUGUGCAAAGCCUGAAAAACUUAGAGACAAGAUAGUAAAUGCCAAAACGAAAGCAGGCUGGGUAAAAAUGGGCAGGCAUCAUGCAGGAAAAGAAAGGGAAAGCUUCUUACCUCAUUAAGCAUGUUGAUCGUGGGAGAACGCCGCCUGCACCACCAUCAUUCAGCAUCUGAGUUGGCGCGGCAGAAAUGCCCAUCUGAAGGUCAGGCAUUGCAGCACGGAUGCUUGAAGCGCUACCAAGUGCGAAGUCACCAUUCGGCAUCUCCACCAAGCUUGUGCCGCCAUCCAUUGCGAGGUUUCAGGAGCAAUCAAAGAGUAUGCGCGUGGUGGUAGAAGACAAUAAAGUUUUGAUCUAGGAGUGACAUACCACUGGGGUCCAAAAUCAUACGCCGAAGAAUCUCGAGCAAGGACCAAGCGACCGUAUCAAACAUCCAAGCCAUAUGGCCCCUUUCGAGUCUAAUUGUCCCGAGGUCAUUCAAGUUGCUUAUAAGAUUAGGCCAGUUUCAUUUUCUCAUUGCCCAAGGGAUCAAACAAGGUGGCACACACUUUAACUAGAAGUUUCUAUGAUUUAAAUUUUGUAUUUUCUGGGAUGGCGAUGCUUCAAAUUUUCUUCUAGCUAAACUGGUUCGUGAUGUAGUAGCUGUCAUUUGAGUUUAAUAAAGUGUGCCACACCUUCCACAAAAAAAGCGACUGUAUCAAGUGCCUUGGAGAUGGCGACCUUGAGCAAGGUAGCAACUUCUCUUUUGAAGCAUCCGAGCGGUCUGGCGAACGAGGAGGAAAUUAUCGUGCGUUGUUCGCUUCUUCAAAAGGCACCCUGAAUGUGCGAUACCAGAUCGGAGUGAAAGUACCUUGGAGAUGAUCUUCACAAAGUUAUCAACUAGUAUUUGAAGUUACUAAAGAACGUGUUUGGUUCAACCCCCUUUUUUGUUAAGUUAUCUUAUUACAAUGUUACCUGAUUACCUUAAACUUGUUUGUUUGUAAAAGUUAUCAACUAGCAUUUGAAGUUACUA